AUGGAGCUGCUCGUCAAGGUUCGACGCGCGGUUGCUGCUGGAGCGGCUGCGCAACAAGAGGCUGAUCUUCGUGGGGGACUCCUGAACCAGAACCAGUGGGAGUCGACGGUGUGCCUGGUGUCGUCGGCGAUCCCGUCGCGCGACCAAAAGUCCCUGGCCAAGUUCGUGGGGCCCAACGGCUCUCUCAACGUGUUCACGGCAGCGGAGUACAACGCGACGGUGGAGUUCUACUGGGCGCCGUUCCUGGUCAGCUCCAACUCGGACGACCCCCAGGCGCACAGCGUGGUGGACCGCGUCAUCGCCUGGCUGUCCAUCGCCAAGCACACCCGGCACUGGCGCGCCGCCCACUUCCUCAUCUUCAACACCUACAUCUGGUGGCUCAACAACUUCGAGAUGAAAGUGUUGAAGAAUCCUCGGGCGUUGCCGGACAAGUACACGCUGGUGGAUCGGCCGGUGGCGUACAAGGAGGUGCUCAAGACGUGGGCAAAUUGGGUGGACCGCGGCGGAGGAGACGAGAGAAGGCCACCGUAG
Molecule: ribosomal RNA, 531 nt
Filed under: Triticum aestivum (bread wheat)
Lineage: Eukaryota; Viridiplantae; Streptophyta; Magnoliopsida; Poales; Poaceae
Description: partial small subunit ribosomal RNA
Source: RNAcentral